CGAUGAGUAGGGCGGGACACGUGGUAUCCUGUCUGAAUAUGGGGGGACCAUCCUCCAAGGCUAAAUACUCCUGACUGACCGAUAGUGAACCAGUACCGUGAGGGAAAGGCGAAAAGAACCCCGGCGAGGGGAGUGAAAAAGAACCUGAAACCGUGUACGUACAAGCAGUGGGAGCACGCUUAGGCGUGUGACUGCGUACCUUUUGUAUAAUGGGUCAGCGACUUAUAUUCUGUAGCAAGGUUAACCGAAUAGGGGAGCCGAAGGGAAACCGAGUCUUAACUGGGCGUUAAGUUGCAGGGUAUAGACCCGAAACCCGGUGAUCUAGCCAUGGGCAGGUUGAAGGUUGGGUAACACUAACUGGAGGACCGAACCGACUAAUGUUGAAAAAUUAGCGGAUGACUUGUGGCUGGGGGUGAAAGGCCAAUCAAACCGGGAGAUAGCUGGUUCUCCCCGAAAGCUAUUUAGGUAGCGCCUCGUGAAUUCAUCUCCGGGGGUAGAGCACUGUUUCGGCAAGGGGGUCAUCCCGACUUACCAACCCGAUGCAAACUGCGAAUACCGGAGAAUGUUAUCACGGGAGACACACGGCGGGUGCUAACGUCCGUCGUGAAGAGGGAAACAACCCAGACCGCCAGCUAAGGUCCCAAAGUCAUGGUUAAGUGGGAAACGAUGUGGGAAGGCCCAGACAGCCAGGAUGUUGGCUUAGAAGCAGCCAUCAUUUAAAGAAAGCGUAAUAGCUCACUGGUCGAGUCGGCCUGCGCGGAAGAUGUAACGGGGCUAAACCAUG
This 784-nucleotide ribosomal RNA is filed under the name Escherichia coli. Its description in RNAcentral is "partial 23S ribosomal RNA". It matches the Rfam family "Bacterial large subunit ribosomal RNA", at positions 406 to 1191 of the family's 2925-position model. The record is from RNAcentral. Lineage: Bacteria; Pseudomonadati; Pseudomonadota; Gammaproteobacteria; Enterobacterales; Enterobacteriaceae.